RNAcentral lists this ribosomal RNA (837 nucleotides) under archaeon enrichment culture clone VNC3A005. RNAcentral describes it as "bacterial SSU rRNA". It matches the Rfam family "Archaeal small subunit ribosomal RNA", at positions 85 to 922 of the family's 1478-position model. The record is from RNAcentral.
ACUGCUCAGUAACACGUAGGUAACCUACCCUCAGGACUGAGAUAACCCCGGGAAAACUGGGGCUAAUAUUAGAUAGAUAAAAGAUACUGGAAUGUUCUUUUAUCCAAAGCUUUUGCGCCUGAGGAUGGGCCUGCGUCCGAUUAGGUUGUUGGUGGGGUAAUGGCCCACCAAGCCUACGAUCGGUACGGGCAGUGGGAGCUGAAGCCCGGAGUUGGGGACUGAGACAAGGCCCCAGGCCCUGCGGGGCGCAGCAGGCGCGAAACCUCUGCAAUGCGGGAAACCGUGACAGGGGGAUCCCAAGUGCUCAUGCAUUGCAUGGGCUGUUCUUUGGUCUAAGUAACCAGAGGAGUAAGGGCUGGGCAAGACCGGUGCCAGCCGCCGCGGUAAUACCGGCAGCUCAAGUGGUAGCCGCGAUUAUCGGGCCUAAAACGUUCGUAGCCGGAUAAGUAAGUCUUUGGUUAAAUCCUGCGACUUAACCGUGGGAAAUCUAGAGAUACUGCUUGUCUUGAGACCGGGAGAGGUUGGAGGUACUCCUAGGGUAGGGGUGAAAUCCUGUAAUCCUAGGGGGACCACCUGUGGCGAAGGCGUCCAACUGGAACGGGUCUGACGGUGAGGGACGAAACCUAGGGGAGCGAGCCGGAUUAGAUACCCGGGGUAGUCCUAGGCGUAAAUGAUGCGAGUUAAGGGUGGGGGCAUCUACCAGAUGGCCCUGUGCUGUAGGGUAGCCGUUAAACUCGCGGCCUCGGGGAGUACGGUCGCAAGGCUGAAACUUAAAGGAAUUGGCGGGGGAGCACCACAAGAGGUGGAGGCUGCGGUUCAAUUGGACUCAACGCCGGA